CUCCGCUACUGCCACGGUCUCUAUGUUCUGCAUUGCUCACUCCGGCUUAAUAUUUGCUUUUUUACUUCUCUAAAUUUAGUUCUGAUUUCACCACUAAUUUUGAUUAGCCUUUUCAAUUCCUAGUUGGAUUGAAACAAAGGAUUUAAUUUUCAUUCAAGACAAUGUCUCACUGCUCGAGUAGCUCACCAGGGUGUAGAUGCGGAUUUAUUGCUAAUAAGUCCAUGGCAUGAACUCCUUCAAAUAUUGGGAUACGUUUUUUAAGUGCCUAAAGCCUGAGGUAACAUAAUUUGUUUUUCAUGGGCUCUUCUUAUUUUCUGAUUUGGGUGUAAAUUACUUUUUCAAGGGUUCUUCAAAUGAAUCUUCAACCUUCAAUCUGACUUUGAUUACCAACUUUGAAACCCUAGCUCAAGGUUUUGUAGCCAUGAAAAUUUGACAGAGAUAAAAUGAACGAAUGGGUAGGUUUACACUUUUAAUAAAUGGAUUAAGAGAGGUAAAUCGAGGUAUAUUAAAAAUGUAGGUGGGGAAAUAGUGGGGUAGGAAAAAAGAAUGGGGGAUGGAGGGAGUUUAAGAGCCACUUGGAUUUUUAAAGGGCAAAAAUAAUUUUUGGAAUUAAAAAUUAUUAAAAAAUCAAUUUGUUAAUCAAAAAGGGUAUGGAUGACUCCGAUCGGUCACGACAGGGGAAUAUCUACUACCCCAACUUUAAACGAGGGGCAUAAUUGUUCUAUUUCAUAUAGUAAAAUGAUAGUUUUGGCUCAUUUCUGUAUUAUAUAAAGGUUCAGAUGAUGGUUGAUGGUUGCAAAUUACUCAAGAAAGGAAUUUUGUGUUUUGCUUACUAGUAGGUGGUAUAUUGUUUUGUUGUUUCAUGCAUCUUGUGAGCCUCUGGAUGCAAACCACUUCAUAUAUUAGGAGUCCUCUGGUGCAUUAGCUAGCUGCUCAAUUGGUGAGAGUUGAAAGAAAGGGAGUAAUUUUUAUUUGGUGAGAUCGAGCAUAGGUCAUAUCUUUGUUAACUCAUCUACCGCAUAAAGGAAAGGACAAAAAAGUAGAAAUGCAGUAUCAAUUCCCUUCCAAUUGAAUCUGUAUUCUUGCGUGAAUAUAACAUAAUAACUAUAUAUUACUUAACAAGUUAAUUAAUUCGCGCUUCGCGUGGUAAUAAAAAAUAUUAGUGAAUUUAGAAAUAAUUUUGUUGUGAAUAUACUCGAGAUAAUUAAGGAGAUGGUAUAAUUUUUCAUUCAUAUGCAUAGAAAUUUUAAAAAGCAAUUACACACACACAUAUAAAGUUUAAAAAAAUAGCAAAGCGGACAAUAUUUCCUACAGAAACAGUGGAAGUAUUGUUCCCUAACCAAAGUUUGCAGAAACAAUAUAGCUAUCGACAUAUGUUUAAGAAGAGGAGCAACAACAAAAUCAGUAAAACACUCAUAUUAGUGAAUUUUUAAUCUAAAUAAUCAGAUAACAAAAUAAAUGACUUUACCGGAUUUGACAUUUGCACAUGGCAAUGUAUUUUGCAGUGUUUUAAAAGGCGUUUUCGGGGAGAGCCCUGGGGCGAGGCGGACCAAAAACGCCCCGAGGUGAUGGUGGGACGAAAGUCUCAAGAGGCGUAUGCCCAGCAAUUCGGAG
RNAcentral lists this long non-coding RNA (1614 nucleotides) under Nicotiana tabacum (common tobacco). Its description in RNAcentral is "long non-coding RNA (NTAB_LNC002683)". The record is from RNAcentral. Lineage: Eukaryota; Viridiplantae; Streptophyta; Magnoliopsida; Solanales; Solanaceae.